This 465-nucleotide ribosomal RNA is filed under the name uncultured bacterium. Its description in RNAcentral is "bacterial SSU rRNA". It matches the Rfam family "Bacterial small subunit ribosomal RNA", at positions 917 to 1382 of the family's 1533-position model. The record is from RNAcentral.
GGGCCCGCACAAGCGGAGGAACAUGUGGUUUAAUUCGAUGAUACGCGAGGAACCUUACCCGGGCUUGAAAUGUACCUGACGAGGCUCAGAGACGAGCCUUUCCUUCGGGCAGGUAUGUAGGUGCUGCAUGGUUGUCGUCAGCUCGUGCCGUGAGGUGUCGGCUCAAGUGCCAUAACGAGCGCAACCCCUUCCGCUGGUUACCAUCGGGUGAUGCCGGGGACUCCAGCGGCACUGCCGCCGCAAGGCGCGAGGAAGGCGGGGAUGACGUCAAAUCAGCACGGCCCUUACGUCCGGGGCCACACACGUGUUACAAUGGGGGGCACAGCAGGCAGGACGCGGGCGACCGCGUUCGAAUCAUGAAAUCCCCUCCCAGUUCGGACUGGAGUCUGCAACCCGACUCCACGAAGCUGGAUUCGCUAGUAAUCGCGCAUCAGCCAUGGCGCGGUGAAUACGUUCCCGGGCCUU